RNAcentral lists this ribosomal RNA (491 nucleotides) under uncultured bacterium. Its description in RNAcentral is "partial 16S ribosomal RNA". It matches the Rfam family "Bacterial small subunit ribosomal RNA", at positions 29 to 506 of the family's 1533-position model. The record is from RNAcentral.
AGUGAACGCUGGCGGUAGGCCUAACACAUGCAAGUCGAACGGCAGCACAGUAAGAGCUUGCUCUUACGGGUGGCGAGUGGCGGACGGGUGAGGAAUACAUCGGAAUCUACUUUUUCGUGGGGGAUAACGUAGGGAAACUUACGCUAAUACCGCAUACGACCUACGGGUGAAAGCAGGGGAUCUUCGGACCUUGCGCGAUUGAAUGAGCCGAUGUCGGAUUAGCUAGUUGGCGGGGUAAAGGCCCACCAAGGCGACGAUCCGUAGCUGGUCUGAGAGGAUGAUAGGCCACACGGGAACUGAGACACGGUCAAGACUCCUACGGGAGGCAGCGGUGGGGAAUAUUGGCAAAUGGGGGCAAGCCUGUUCCAGCCAUCCGGGGUGGGUGAAGAAGGCCUUCGGGUUGUAAAGCCCUUUUGUUGGGAAAGAAAAGCAGCAGGUUAAUCCCCCGCUGUUCUGACGGUACCAAAAGAAUAAGCACCGGCUAACUUCGU